Molecule: long non-coding RNA, 782 nt
Organism: Glossina fuscipes
Lineage: Eukaryota; Metazoa; Arthropoda; Insecta; Diptera; Glossinidae
Exons: 3
Source: RefSeq, a predicted model, not a curated record
UGCCACGGAGCUUUAUAUCCACCGCCAAUUGCGAGGAGGUCAAAGCAGAGAUGCAGGACGUGGGCAAAUAUUUGGGGGAACCUUUUGCGGCGGACCUCUUAGCAGCGGAAACGCGGAUGAGUAUAAAAAAUUUCGUCCACUUAAUGGACGAGCCGGUAGAGGCUUUCCCUCACACAACUAUAGCGUCAUACAGGGUAAGCCAGGACCUACUGGAACGUUUCUUCUGCAGGAUGGCAGAGCGGGGUCAUUAGUGGAAAUCAUAAAGCUGACGGAAAGAUUAAAGAACCUGCAGUUGGCAAAAUGGGCAGGUGGAUUCAGAGCCGAUGAUGACUACUACCUCAUAGACAAUAUGAACUACAAAAUCGAAGUCCUGGCCACAGAAGAGUUUACACUAUUCGGCAUCGGGCAAUGAAGCAACACAUGGUGGAACGGGACAUCGGCAAGCGCCUGCAGUCAACUGUGGGGGCACGGUUUAUCCUCUUCAGGGCAGUAGAAUCCUGGACUAGCGACAGUAUCCACCGAAUCAAUUUACUUGGGUACGUGUCGUUCACGCUACUGACGCAAAGAAAUUGGAGACAGGCCUUGGAAGUCAACGUAACGUCAUUCUAAGACACACGAAACCUAUGAACAGCGAACGUUCAAGGAACAAUUGUAUAUGAAAUACAUUAAAGUAAAGAUUGAGAAAUAAGCAUACGUUGCCCCUCACCGCCUCAACAUAAUGAAUGAAGGUCUGCCACUUAAUUAAACUUUGGAAAGGGAAAUCAUGCGUGGGAAGCAGUAGA